UUAGAGGAAGUAAAAGUCGUAACAAGGUUUCCGUAGGUGAACCUGCGGAAGGAUCAUUAUCGUACAACCGAGGUGCAUGGGCUGUCGCUGACCUCCAACGGUUGUGCACGCCCAAGCGCUCUCACACAUCCAUCUCACCUUUGUGCAUCACCGCGUGGGUCCCCUUUGCAGGAGGGCUUGCGUUUUCACAUAAAACUUGAUACAGUGUAGAAUGUUUUAUUUGCGGUCACACGCAAUCAAUACAACUUUCAACAACGGAUCUCUUGGCUCUCGCAUCGAUGAAGAACGCAGCGAAAUGCGAUACGUAAUGUGAAUUGCAGAAUUCAGUGAAUCAUCGAAUCUUUGAACGCACCUUGCGCCCCUUGGCAUUCCGAGGGGCACACCCGUUUGAGUGUCGUGAAAUCAUCAAAACCUUUCUCUUUGACCCUCUUUGGUCGGGAAAAGGAUUUUUGGACUUGGAGGUUCCAUGCUCACCUUCACUUUUGAAAGCGAGCUCCUCUCAAAUGAAUUAGUGGGGUCCGCUUUGCUGGUCCUUGACGUGAUAAGAUGUUUCUACGUUUUGGAUUUAGCACUGUCCCUUGGAUGCCUGCUCCUAACCGUCUCACGGACAAUGAUGGUGCUCUGGUCACUGCCAUCUACAUUGGCGGGAGGCUGGACCCACAAAAGAAAACCUUGACCUCAAAUCGGGUGAGACUACCCGCUGAACUUAAGCAUAUCAAUAAGCGGAGGAAAAGAAACUAACAAGGAUUCCCCUAGUAACUGCGAGUGAAGCGGGAAAAGCUCAAAUUUAAAAUCUGGUGGUCUUUGGCCGUCCGAGUUGUAAUUUAGAGAAGCGUCUUCCGCGCUGGACCGUGCACAAGUCUCCUGGAAUGGAGCGUCAUAGA
Molecule: ribosomal RNA, 884 nt
Filed under: Russula decolorans
Lineage: Eukaryota; Fungi; Basidiomycota; Agaricomycetes; Russulales; Russulaceae
Description: eukaryotic LSU rRNA
Rfam family: Eukaryotic large subunit ribosomal RNA (bases 674-884)
Source: RNAcentral